Molecule: long non-coding RNA, 1960 nt
Organism: Helicoverpa armigera (cotton bollworm)
Lineage: Eukaryota; Metazoa; Arthropoda; Insecta; Lepidoptera; Noctuidae
Exons: 3
Source: RefSeq, a predicted model, not a curated record
UUACAACUAUUGUUACUUAUAAGGAAAGUGAGUGGCGUGUGAUGACAACGUCUACGCGUUUUAAUAAUAUAAAUAAAACAAUCAUUUUAAUAUUGUAUUGGUGAUUAAAAGAAGUGCAGUCCCUGGAAAUCUGGUCGCGAUGAGAGCUGUGAUGAUAUUACUGGCGCUGAGCAUCGCAGCGUGCGACAUGUGCGUCGGCAGCGCGUCGGACGACAUCCCCGUGACAUUAGCCGGCGCCGCGCCCGCAGACAUACUGCUGUACCUCUACGACGUCGUGCUCACUCCCCACUUGCUCACUGAUCGUAACAGAGAAGGAGGGCCGCUUGUUGGAUCGUCUUUAUGUCCCGGUGGUACACCUCGAACAAAAUCCGGGCAGUGCCCGCUACAAGACAAGGAUUAUUUGUAUGAUGACUAAAACUUUGACUUACUUAAAUAAAUUAUUUUAUACAUUAAGGUAAAUAGUAAGUAGAAUAUAGUGCCAUUUAAUAAGAACAGAUUUAAGGAGAACAAGAAUUCUGACAGUUUGGUACUUCGGCGAACUUAGGUAAAACUGUAACAAAUACUCUAAUUUAGGCGAUUGUUAGUCAUGUUUUACAAAAGACUAAAUAUGGUUCACUUAUGUGCCUAUUGCUAUGUUUAAAAUGUGGUCAUCAACAACAUGCGAACCUUUUCCUGUAUUAUUUAUUUGCUAGUACAAUGUAAUCAUCCGAUGGAUUUGCCACGAAUCUGCGUCGGUCAUUUUGUUUAUGAUAAAUUAGUGUCAAAGUGUUUUAGACUAAAGUUCAGGUUCAACAAAAGUUCUAUUAUCAAAAUAAACAAAUAGUGUUUUCAAAAGAUUGGAGUUAACCAUGUGGUUCAAAGGGUGUGUCCAAUAGGGCUAUUAUAAAAGAAACUGCAAACGAUGACAGUUGCAUUCAUCUUACUGAUCGCAGUCACUACGGCUUUCACCGACCCGACUGUCAUGGAAGAUGAAACAACCGCAGUAUUAGAUAGAAAAGCUACUGAAGACAAACUUAUGUACCUCCAUGAUAUUUUUAUGAUGAAACCCAAACUCAGGAAUGGUAAAAGAAAAAAGAGGGAGCUCAUCAUAUCGUUUAAAUGUCCCGGCGGUAUGAACCGCGUACGUGACCGCUGCCCACCUCCUAGAGAUGAUUACGAUGACUAUUUUACUUUACAAUAAGUUCUUCAACGUUAUGCUGUAAAACUUGAUUUUAAGAAGUUCUUUAUCAGUUGAUAUUAAGUAGAUAUUAGAUUACAAUUACAUGUUAGUGGUUUGUAGACAACUGUCCAGCAAUUUUUAAUGUCUUUGGUUAUAAGUUGUAUCUAUAUAAGAUAAGUUUUAGAUGUAUAACGAUUUUUAAAUAUGUAUAUUGAAAUAAACUGUAUAGUGAAUAUUUGCAUUAAUUAAUUUAUAUUUGAAUCUCCAAAUACCUUGUCAGCAUCAGCAUUUUUCCCAAAGGGUAACUACUCCAUUAAUCGUCGUACAACAUUUUUUAUGAUGGUCUCGCCAGUCUGAGUUACAGCGAACGUUCUGAUUUUGUUUUGAGUGGCCGUAUACAUUCGGAGCUGUGGGACUGUUCUGGGGCAGUGGGAUUGUUCGAAAGAGUUACCCCGGCCCUGGUACAUAAAGUGCUUCGGAAGAAACAUGAUGGGGUUGAGUCAGUAAGAGUCUGACACUCCCUCACGUUGUCAACCCACAGCGGGAGUGGCACUUAUUGAUUUCGCGGGUUUAAAAAUAAAAUGGCCUCCUACAUAUAUAUUAACUAAGUCGUAAAACAUAAAUAACAUUGUGUGUAAUGUACAUAUGUUUCUGAAGUCCUUAAAUGGUAUUCUAAUAUACAAGCACCACAUUUCUAAGUAGGUAUGCAUAUUAUGUACGUAGAAGGUAUUUUUAAGUCUUUUCCUGACCACAAAAUCAGUAUAUUUACCCUUAAUAAAUUCGAUAACAAUUUCCUGCAGA